GUAAUGUCUGGGAAACUGCCUGAUGGAGGGGGAUAACUACUGGAAACGGUGGCUAAUACCGCAUAACGUCGCAAGACCAAAGAGGGGGACCUUCGGGCCUCUUGCCAUCAGAUGUGCCCAGAUGGGAUUAGCUUGUUGGUGAGGUAACGGCUCACCAAGGCGACGAUCCCUAGCUGGUCUGAGAGGAUGACCAGCCACACUGGAACUGAGACACGGUCCAGACUCCUACGGGAGGCAGCAGUGGGGAAUAUUGCACAAUGGGCGCAAGCCUGAUGCAGCCAUGCCGCGUGUAUGAAGAAGGCCUUCGGGUUGUAAAGUACUUUCAGCGGGGAGGAAGGUGUUGUGGUUAAUAACCACAGCAAUUGACGUUACCCGCAGAAGAAGCACCGGCUAACUCCGUGCCAGCAGCCGCGGUAAUACGGAGGGUGCAAGCGUUAAUCGGAAUUACUGGGCGUAAAGCGCACGCAGGCGGUCUGUCAAGUCGGAUGUGAAAUCCCCGGGCUCAACCUGGGAACUGCAUUCGAAACUGGCAGGCUUGAGUCUUGUAGAGGGGGGUAGAAUUCCAGGUGUAGCGGUGAAAUGCGUAGAGAUCUGGAGGAAUACCGGUGGCGAAGGCGGCCCCCUGGACAAAGACUGACGCUCAGGUGCGAAAGCGUGGGGAGCAAACAGGAUUAGAUACCCUGGUAGUCCACGCCGUAAACGAUGUCUACUUGGAGGUUGUGCCCUUGAGGCGUGGCUUCCGGAGCUAACGCGUUAAGUAGACCGCCUGGGGAGUACGGCCGCAAGGUUAAAACUCAAAUGAAUUGACGGGGGCCCGCACAAGCGGUGGAGCAUGUGGUUUAAUUCGAUGCAACGCGAAGAACCUUACCUGGUCUUGACAUCCACAGAACUUUCCAGAGAUGGAUUGGUGCCUUCGGGAACUGUGAGACAGGUGCUGCAUGGCUGUCGUCAGCUCGUGUUGUGAAAUGUUGGGUUAAGUCCCGCAACGAGCGCAACCCUUAUCCUUUGUUGCCAGCGGUUAGGCCGGGAACUCAAAGGAGACUGCCAGUGAUAAACUGGAGGAAGGUGGGGAUGACGUCAAGUCAUCAUGGCCCUUACGACCAGGGCUACACACGUGCUACAAUGGCGCAUACAAAGAGAAGCGACCUCGCGAGAGCAAGCGGACCUCAUAAAGUGCGUCGUAGUCCGGAUUGGAGUCUGCAACUCGACUCCAUGAAGUCGGAAUCGCUAGUAAUCGUGGAUCAGAAUGCCACGGUGAAUACGUUCCCGGGCCUUGUACACACCGCCCGUCACACCAUGGGAGUGGGUUGCAAAAGAAGUAGGUAGCUUAACCUUCGGGAGGGCGCUUACCACUUUGUGAUUCAUGACUGGGGUGAAGUCGUAACAAGGUAACCGUAGGGGAACCUGC
Molecule: ribosomal RNA, 1408 nt
Filed under: Salmonella enterica subsp. enterica
Lineage: Bacteria; Pseudomonadati; Pseudomonadota; Gammaproteobacteria; Enterobacterales; Enterobacteriaceae
Also listed under: 1 other name
Description: bacterial SSU rRNA
Rfam family: Bacterial small subunit ribosomal RNA
Source: RNAcentral